This 433-nucleotide ribosomal RNA is filed under the name uncultured bacterium. Its description in RNAcentral is "partial 16S ribosomal RNA". It matches the Rfam family "Bacterial small subunit ribosomal RNA", at positions 29 to 507 of the family's 1533-position model. The record is from RNAcentral.
AACGAACGCUGGCGGCAUGCCUAACACAUGCAAGUCGAACGAGACCUUCGGGUCUAGUUGCGCACGGGUGCGUAACGCGUGGGAACCUGCCCUUAGGUUCGGAAUAACUCCCCGAAAGGGGUGCUAAUACCGGAUAAUGUCUUCGGACCAAAGAUUUAUCGCCUUUGGAUGGGCCCGCGUUGGUUUAGCUAGUUGGUAGGGUAAAAGCCUACCAAGGCGACGAUCCAUAGCUGGUCUGAGAGGAUGAUCAGCCACACUGGGACUGAGACACGGCCCAGACUCCUACGGGAGGCAGCAGUGGGGAAUAUUGGACAAUGGGCGAAGGCCUGAUGCAGCAAUGCCGCGUGAGUGAUGAAGGCCUUAGGGUUGUAAAGCUCUUUUACCCGGGAUGAUAAUGACAGUACCGGGAGAAUAAGCUCCGGCUAACUCCGUG